UACGUAGGUGGCGAGCGUUGUCCGGAUUUACUGGGCGUAAAGGGCGCGUAGGCGGCUUGGCAAGUGGAUGGUGAAAUCCCUCGGCUUAACCGAGGAACUGCCAUCCAGACUGCUUUGCUUGAGGCCGGGAGAGGUAAGUGGAAUUCCCAGUGUAGCGGCGAAAUGCGUAGAUAUUGGGAGGAACACCAGUGGCGAAGGCGGCUCACUGGACCGGAACUGACGCUGAGGCGCGAAAGCGUGGGGAGCAAACAGG
This 253-nucleotide ribosomal RNA is filed under the name uncultured bacterium. RNAcentral describes it as "partial 16S ribosomal RNA". It matches the Rfam family "Bacterial small subunit ribosomal RNA", at positions 524 to 776 of the family's 1533-position model. The record is from RNAcentral.